This 301-nucleotide ribosomal RNA is filed under the name uncultured bacterium. Its description in RNAcentral is "partial 16S ribosomal RNA". It matches the Rfam family "Bacterial small subunit ribosomal RNA", at positions 509 to 810 of the family's 1533-position model. The record is from RNAcentral.
CAGUCGCGCGGUAAUACGGAGGGUGCAAGCGUUAAUCGGAAUUACUGGGCGUAAAGCGCACGCAGGCGGUCUGACAAGUCAGAUGUGAAAUCCCCGGGCUUAACCUGGGAACUGCAUUUGAAACUGUCAGGCUGGAGUCUUGUAGAGGGGGGUAGAAUUCCAGGUGUAGCGGUGAAAUGCGUAGAGAUCUGGAGGAAUACCGGUGGCGAAGGCGGCCCCCUGGACAAAGACUGACGCUCAGGUGCGAAAGCGUGGGGAGCAAACAGGAUUAGAUACCCCAGUAGUCCCUGUCUCUUAUAAA